This is a small nucleolar RNA of Tachyglossus aculeatus (Australian echidna), 133 nucleotides long. RefSeq annotates it as U8 small nucleolar RNA. The record is from RefSeq and is a predicted model, not a curated record. The transcript has a single exon. NCBI's taxonomy places the organism in Eukaryota, Metazoa, Chordata, Mammalia, Monotremata, Tachyglossidae.
UCGUCAGUCAGGUAUAUCCUUACCUGUUUCUCCUCCGGGAGAACGGAACAUGAUGAUUGGAAUUCGCAUGACACGUGAUUAGUGUUACCGCGGCGGUUGGGGAGCAACAACACUCCAACUGUUCCUUUCUGAU